Molecule: microRNA precursor, 67 nt
Filed under: Bombyx mori (domestic silkworm)
Lineage: Eukaryota; Metazoa; Arthropoda; Insecta; Lepidoptera; Bombycidae
Description: mir-2774 microRNA precursor family
Rfam family: mir-2774 microRNA precursor family
Source: Rfam by way of RNAcentral
AUAACAUCUGAACCGUCGGUCUACCGAGCAAUAUCACUCGCUCAGUGGAACAUCUUCAUUUUGUCGU